Molecule: unclassified non-coding RNA, 280 nt
Filed under: uncultured fungus
Lineage: Eukaryota; Fungi
Also listed under: 1 other name
Description: partial contains 5.8S ribosomal RNA, internal transcribed spacer 2, and large subunit ribosomal RNA
Rfam family: 5.8S ribosomal RNA (bases 1-52)
Source: RNAcentral
AACGCAUCUUGCGCUCCUUGGUAUUCCGAGGAGCAUGCCUGUUUGAGUGUCAUUAAAAGUUCUCAACCACUCUGGUUCUUUCCGGUGUGGCUUGGAUUUGAGGGGUUUUGCAGGCUUUUGAACUGAAGUCGGCUCCCUUGAAAAGGAUUAGUGGUGUCUGAGCAGAAGCCAUCAUGGGUGUGAUAAUUAUCUAUGCCUUGGUGGAAUGCCUGAACCGCAAAAAGUGUUGUGUUUUGAUGAAUUUGACCUCAAAUCAGGUAGGACUACCCGCUGAACUUAA